RNAcentral lists this unclassified non-coding RNA (221 nucleotides) under Hevea brasiliensis (rubber tree). Lineage: Eukaryota; Viridiplantae; Streptophyta; Magnoliopsida; Malpighiales; Euphorbiaceae. The record is from RNAcentral.
UGCAGUGCACUAAAAACAAGACAUGGUGAGUAAGCAAAGAGGGCGAGAGUCAUAAGAUUUGCCUCCAAAAAAUUUUCAUUGCCCCGAAAAAACAUCCAAUCCCGCUUUCAAUUUUGGCAUCAAAUUUUUUUGAACCCCGCCUUUCCCAUUUCCCCGCCCUAUUGGCUUCCUUUCCCCUUCAUCAAUCCCUAAAAUCACACUCGGUUUGCACUCAAAAUCAC